UACGGAGGCAGCAAGCGUUGUUCGGAAUUACUGGGCGUAAAGGGUUCGUAGGCGGCUCUAUAAGUCUGGUGUGAAAUCUCCCGGCUUAACUGGGGGGGUGCGCUAGAGACUGUGGGGCUAGAGUGUGGGAGAGGAAAGUGGAAUUCCUGGUGUAGCGGUGAAAUGCGUAGAUAUCAGGAGGAACACCGGUGGUGUAAGCGGCUUUCUGGACCAUAACUGACGCUGAGGCGCGAAAGCGUGGGUAGCAAACAGG
RNAcentral lists this ribosomal RNA (253 nucleotides) under uncultured bacterium. Its description in RNAcentral is "partial 16S ribosomal RNA". It matches the Rfam family "Bacterial small subunit ribosomal RNA", at positions 524 to 776 of the family's 1533-position model. The record is from RNAcentral.